UGGGGAAUAUUGGACAAUGGGCGAAAGCCUGAUCCAGCAAUGCCGCGUGAGUGAUGAAGUAUUUCGGUAUGUAAACUUCGUAAGAAUAGGAAGAAUAAAUGACGGUACUAUUUGUAAGGUCCGGCUAACUACGUGCCAGCAGCCGCGGUAAUACGUAGGGACCAAGCGUUGUUCGGAUUUACUGGGCGUAAAGGGCGCGUAGGCGGUGUGUCAAGUCAGUUGUGAAAUCUCCGAGCUUAACUCGGAACGGUCAACUGAUACUGUCAUACUAGAGUACAGAAGGGGCAAUCGGAAUUCUUGGUGUAGCGGUGAAAUGCGUAGAUAUCAAGAGGAACACCUGAGGCGAAGGCGGGUUGCUGGGCUGAUACUGACGCUGAGGCGCGAAAGCUAGGGUAGCAAACGGGAUUAGAUACCCCCUGAGCGGGCUGGCAAGGCGCAU
Molecule: ribosomal RNA, 439 nt
Filed under: uncultured bacterium
Lineage: Bacteria
Description: bacterial SSU rRNA
Rfam family: Bacterial small subunit ribosomal RNA
Source: RNAcentral